Molecule: non-coding RNA, 1080 nt
Organism: Pimephales promelas (fathead minnow)
Lineage: Eukaryota; Metazoa; Chordata; Actinopteri; Cypriniformes; Leuciscidae
Source: RefSeq, a predicted model, not a curated record
UUACAGCUAUGUAAUAAAAGUUUACGACUUAGCCAAGGAAUGGAUUGGCUGUGCUAAGUCACAUGGUGUCCUCUCCAUGAUAAUGAACUUUAUAAUAUUGUCUCUGCCCAGAUCAUUCGUUCCCCAUCAAGAUGAACAACACGGAACAUUAGUUUUUUUAGUCUUACAACUUUAACAACGGUAAUCAUUUAGUUGACAGUCGUUUUUACCUCCUAUCCCUGCAUCUGCUCUUCUAAAGUAGCCUAAAUAGUUUUAGUUUUGAUAGAAGUCGAGAGCGUAUUUUGCACUACAGGAAACAGGAAUGGAUCUUCACCAGAUGUGGAUUAACGUUACCUUAUUAUUUGAGAAGCUGCUUGUUAAUAAGCUCUCUCUGUCUGUCUCUCUGUGUCUCUCUCUCUCUCUCUCUCUCUCUCUCUCUCUCUCUCUCUCGAGCUUUUCAGCGGAUCCGUCAAGAGCGUUGCGAGAAAGAAGUGUUGAGCGUCGCAGAUAUGCACAUGUUUUCAGUGAGAAGCCAUGCAAAGCGACAUAUGAAGCGGAUUCACAGCCCUGGCAAUCACUCCAGUCAUAAAUGUGACAGCAGAGGCUCUAGGCAGCCAAUGAGACUUUUCUAUCAUGUCUGCGCUGGAGAAUUGAAGGUGAAUAAGUAGGAGAAAGUAAACAAGAUGAGGGAUAUUAACCUAAUUUAAAAUUAAUUAUUCACCAUCACAAUGUUGGAAAUCACCUUUCAUUUUUUUUUCCUGUGAACCUUGUUACAUUGGAUCAGAGUCGAAGCUCUCUCCUCAGACAGAACGGCUCCUGAGGAACAGUCUGGUGCAUCAACCGAGACCAAGAUGUUAAGAGGUUAUAUGGGAUAUAUUUGUUGUUUAUAGCUUUUCAUUGUUUUUUGGGAUAGGUAUAUGUACUAUGUUGGUGAUUAAUGCUUUUUUUCAAAUACUAACUUAAAGAUCUGAAACGGUUAUGACAGAUGACAGACAUCCAAAAUGUGUACUGUUGGGGAAUGUGUAAGAUCAUAUGUGGUCACUUUUCACAGCUACAAAGUUUUGUGAUAUCUGCAUAAUAAAAUGGAAUCACGAUUUUUAA